Phoenix dactylifera (date palm) is the source of this 511-nucleotide non-coding RNA. Lineage: Eukaryota; Viridiplantae; Streptophyta; Magnoliopsida; Arecales; Arecaceae. The record is from RefSeq and is a predicted model, not a curated record.
CGGUUAGGACGGCUGAGACCCGUAUAAUUUCUCCUCCUGCUUGGUGACCCAAGCGGGUGUCGAGAGAUUGGCGUUGGCGGAUGGAGUCGGCAAGCAUUUGGAGGCUGGAAGAAUGUUCAUUGCGACAAUCUCCGUGCGAUUUAGACCUUUAAAUUCAAGUGAGAAAAGAGGUUAAUGGAGACAUUAUAUGCUUUCAGCCUUAGAUGCAAAGUCCUUUCUGUUCAAGGAUGAGAAGGUGGAUGAUAUUCUCUUUUGCUUUGAUAAAGUCUUCUACCCAGAUCGUGCACAAGCAGAUGUCUAUGAGUUCCUUGCUAUGCCCAUAAUUGGAGGUCGGGACUGAUUGCAGAAAUAGGGUGGGAAUUCUAGAACUGCAUUGCUGUGCUCUGCUCUCCAAGCCGUUCAAAUGCUUCAGAAAGCCUGUCUACUCUUCGAUUUGACACUAGGCAUGUCUUGCAAACAUUGCAUGCAGAUUCUGGGAUGGAAAAACAAACAGAUGUCAUUUGAUUGGUUA